AGGGUUUAUUACGUAUUAGUUAGAUAUUAAGCUGCUGCCACUUUAAGAAUGUACCGGAAACGAAUGCUCAUAACUCGUGUUAAUGUCUGUGGCCGCGCACACGCAAGUGACAGGUUUAUUUUUGUGUAGAAGUAGACUUUCGAAGUGUGCGAUGAUAUCCCUGUAUUUAGUAAGACCACUUCGCAGCUGUAGCAGCGUCUGGCGACAUCGAGCAUUAUCAGAAUUAGUUUGUAAAUUCGCAGUUGGGAACUGUCAAACAUCACGUCUAUGGUUUUCCACCAUAUCCCACGGCCUCGUCAGAAAUAUGGACGAAAUACUGCGAAAGACUGUUGCACCUUUACCCUCAUAUGAGACCAGAGACAAGUUCCCACCACCCCCGGAAUCACAUUCUGUGGAAUUUAUGAAUUUCUACCGAAGUUUAGAGCCGGAACAGAGAGUAGAGUUUUUGGAAAGACUGUCAGAAGAAUAUGGAGUGGACCACAAAAGCGUUUCAGAGCUGGCAGCGAAACUGCUUGAGACGCAGCUAAGGGACGUAGCAACUAUACUACAAGUGGAGGACCGGUUACGUUACAGUCUGACUCCCCGGUACCGACAAUUACUAAGUCACAUAAGUAGGAUCGGGGGUGGGGUGAAGUUUUUAGUCGACUUCCGAGCAGAUGUGAUCCAAAUAACAUCGUCCAAAGCUAGCGACAGUCCACAUUUGAGGGACUUGAAUGGCGCACUGAAGGGGCUUCUGUCAGAGUGGUUCUCCGUCGGACUCCUGAAGCUGGAGAGGAUCACGUGGCAGUCACCGUGUGCGCUCCUGCAGAAGAUCAGCCAGUAUGAGGCCGUGCAUCCGGUGCGUAACUGGAUGGACAUUCAGCGCAGGGUAGGGCCUUACCGCCGCUGCUACGCCUUCACCCACGCCUCCAUGCCCGGGGAGCCUCUGGUGGUGCUGCACGUGGCCCUCACGGAGGAGAUCUCCAACAACAUCCAGUCUAUAGUGCGAGAUUUGGCCACGGUGGAUGCGGAGGAGGACGCGAGUAAGAUCCAUGCCGCCAUCUUCUACUCCAUCUCCUCCACCCAGCCUGGCCUGCAGGGCGUGGAGCUGGGCAACUACCUCAUCAAGAGGGUGGUGCGCGAGCUACAGAGUGAGUUCCCACACAUGUCCCAGUUCUCCAGUCUGUCUCCCAUCCCGGGCUUCACGUCCUGGCUGCAGGGCACGCUGGGUCCCAGCCGUAAGGUGGAGGGCCGAGGCGGCGCCGGCGUCACCGAGCUGCUGUCGGAGUGUGAGUGGCGCGAGGUGGAGGAGGUGGCCGGCGUGGGUCCCGGACCCCCCGCGAUGGAGGCCCUGCGUCGGCUGCUGGCGACCGGCGACUGGUCGCGCUCGGAGCGGCUGACCCGCGCCCUGGAGCCGGCGCUGAUGCGACUCUGCGCCUGGUACCUGUACGGCGAGAAGCGUCGCGGCUACGCCAUCAACCCUGUGGCCAACUUCCACCUGCAGAAUGGCGCCACCAUGUGGCGGCUGAACUGGCAGGCCGACGCCAGCCCGCGCGGCUUAGCCAACUCCUGUGGCAUCAUGGUGAACUACCGCUACUUCCUGUCAGAGACAGCAGCCAACAGCGCCACCUACCUGCAGAACAAAACGGUGUCGGCCUCGGAUCAGGUGCUUGCAUUGGUGGCACAGUUCCAGCAGAACAGCAAACUCUGAGCAAUGCUGAGAAAUGCACAUGCGCGCGCAUGCACACACACACACACACACACACACACACACACACACACACACACACACACACACACACAGAUUUGUACACCAAACACUGAGAUUCGAAUACAUAUCCAUAGACACACAUACACACACAUACCCCAGACCCAUAUCACACUCCAUAGACACACAUAUCCAUACACACACAGAAAAAUAUGCAGACACAGAGUGUCAAACACAUUCACAUACAAUUAAUCUAAUUGCACUGUUGGUUUAUAGAUGACGUACGCCUCUCUGAAUUGUGCCAUACACUGCCUCCCUCACGGGAGUGAGUGUUGACUGACGUUAGGACUGUGCCCAUCUCCCCUGGGUGUUUGUGUUCUGUGAUGUGAAGGCUGCUAUUGCUCCGCUUCCUAACGCACUCAGUGAAACGAGGCUGCUCUGGUUUUCUUGUUUUGUUUUGUUCUUGCCUCGCACCCUAGGCAGCCUCUUCUCAAAGUAAGACACGGGAUUUCAACUGCUGUCAGAGCCCCACUCACCCAGUGUAUAGGAUGAAGCAGACCAUGCAUCACAUCCCAUCAACCUUUGCAUCCUCGUUUGCAGGAUGCCAGAGGAGAUAAUAAGGAAAGAAAAAUAAUGCUCAACAAGUUAAGAAGUGCCGCUCAGCAGAACACUGCGCUGCUUGCCGCUUGAUGGAUAUAGGCAGCCCUGCCUUAAAGUGCAGUAAUAACAUUUGGGAAAAGUCAAGUGAAUCGAGGUGCCUGGUGUCCUAGAAACUAAUGAGGAUGUCAGGAGCCAAAGAGUGGGGGUGGAGGUGUUGGAAGAGACGCUCGCCCUUGAGAGGGGACCUGUCCCCAGCUGAGAGUGAACGCAGAGGAUUGUGGGAAAAUGGGAUCUCACCUAGCACAGGGUUGUGCAGCUGUUAGAUCAUAUCAGACGUUGUCGUAUAGUCUCAAAACUAUCAAAACAUCAAAGUGUUUUAAGUCAAAGUUAAGCCCACUUUUUGUUUUCUGUGCGCAUGAUUAUCCUCAUAUCAAUAUUUAAAAAUAACAUAGAUGCUUCAUUUAUACAGACCUGACAUCUAUCAAUAAUUACAAACUUGAUUUUUAAAUAUUAUAUUAAUGACAAGCAGGUUUUGAAACAUUAAGUUUAUAUCAUAAAACAAAACACUGCUUACAAAAGAAUGAUGAGAAUAAACACACACCGCAAGUGUUAUAACCAAAUGUAUUAACUACACCUCAGAGUGAUCCACAAUCUGUGCAAUGAUGCACACCCUGGAAACACACACAUGGAAACAUGCACAUGGUGUUUGCACCCACUG
Molecule: RNA transcript, 3005 nt
Organism: Alosa alosa (allis shad)
Lineage: Eukaryota; Metazoa; Chordata; Actinopteri; Clupeiformes; Clupeidae
Gene: mlycd
Gene name: malonyl-CoA decarboxylase
Exons: 8
Source: RefSeq, a predicted model, not a curated record